GAAAUGCGAUAAGUAAUGUGAAUUGCAGAAUUCAGUGAAUCAUCGAAUCUUUGAGACUUGGUUUGACUUGGCGUAAUAAGUAUUUCGCUAAGGACAUUCUUCGGAGUGGCCUCGUUUCUAGGACGCUUGUCCGCUUUCCAAUACAAGUUCCACCUCGUGGACAUGACUUUUUAUUAUCUGGCCUCAAAUCAGGUAGGACUACCCGCUGAACUUAA
RNAcentral lists this unclassified non-coding RNA (215 nucleotides) under uncultured Solicoccozyma. RNAcentral's name for it is "sequence contains ITS1". The stretch from base 1 to 111 matches the Rfam family "5.8S ribosomal RNA", at positions 50 to 154 of the family's 154-position model. From Rfam's summary of the family: 5.8S ribosomal RNA (5.8S rRNA) is a component of the large subunit of the eukaryotic ribosome. It is transcribed by RNA polymerase I as part of the 45S precursor that also contains 18S and 28S rRNA. The record is from RNAcentral. Lineage: Eukaryota; Fungi; Basidiomycota; Tremellomycetes; Filobasidiales; Piskurozymaceae.